AGCAGCCGCGGUAAUUCCAGCUCCAAUAGCGUAUAUUAAAGUUGUUGCAGUUAAAAAGCUCGUAGUUGAAUUUCGGGAUUGACACAUCGGUCGUGCCUUAAGGGGUGUGAACUGGUGUAGUCAAUUUCUCACCUUCUGGAGAACCGCGAUGUCCUUAAUUGGGUGCCGCGAGGAACCAGGACCUUUACUUUGAAAAAAUUAGAGUGUUUAAAGCAGGCAUUUUUGCUUGAAUACAUUAGCAUGGAAUAAUAAAAUAGGACGGCAUGAUUCUAUUUUGUUGGUUUCUAGGAUCACCGUAAUGAUUAAUAGGGAUAGUUGGGGGCAUUAGUAUUCAAUUGUCAGAGGUGAAAUUCUUGGAUUUAUUGAAGACUAACUACUGCGAAAGCAUUUGCCAAGGAUGUUUUCAUUAAUCAAGAACGAAAGUUAGGGGAUCGAAGACGAUCAGAUACCGUCGUAGUCUUAACCAUAAACUAUGCCGACUAGGAAUCAGACGAUGUUAAUUUUUUAAUGACUCGUUUGGCGCCUUACG
This 529-nucleotide ribosomal RNA is filed under the name uncultured Glomeromycotina. RNAcentral's name for it is "SSU rRNA". It matches the Rfam family "Eukaryotic small subunit ribosomal RNA", at positions 569 to 1092 of the family's 1831-position model. Lineage: Eukaryota; Fungi; Glomeromycota. The record is from RNAcentral.